RNAcentral lists this ribosomal RNA (253 nucleotides) under uncultured bacterium. RNAcentral describes it as "partial 16S ribosomal RNA". It matches the Rfam family "Bacterial small subunit ribosomal RNA", at positions 524 to 776 of the family's 1533-position model. The record is from RNAcentral.
UACGAAGGGGGCUAGCGUUGCUCGGAAUCACUGGGCGUAAAGGGUGCGUAGGCGGGUUUUUAAGUCAGGGGUGAAAUCCUGGAGCUCAACUCCAGAACUGCCUUUGAUACUGAAGAUCUCGAGUCCGGGAGAGGUGAGUGGAACUGCGAGUGUAGAGGUGAAAUUCGUAGAUAUUCGCAGGAACACCAGUGGCGAAGGCGGCUCACUGGCCCGGUACUGACGCUGAGGCACGAAAGCGUGGGGAGCAAACAGG